Molecule: transfer RNA, 66 nt
Filed under: Monochroa sp.
Lineage: Eukaryota; Metazoa; Arthropoda; Insecta; Lepidoptera; Gelechiidae
Description: tRNA-Thr
Rfam family: tRNA
About the family: Transfer RNA (tRNA) molecules are approximately 80 nucleotides in length. Their secondary structure includes four short double-helical elements and three loops (D, anti-codon, and T loops).
Source: RNAcentral
GUUUUUAUAGUUUAAAUUUAAAACAUUGGUCUUGUAAAUCAAAAUUAAGAAUUUUCUUUAAAAACU